CCACAUUCGAAACGCUAGCUUGUGAUGUUCGCCUUUGUACAAUGCACCGAGCAAUGUUAACACCGACAUUACCACCACUGACGAUUCAACUAGAAGUGCGUAAUAAAACGCGUUCGAUCUGUGGCGAUUCGUAAGGUGAUAGGUAGAUGCAUGGAAAACGUCCAGAAGGAAUUUAAAAUUCCUCGCAACUAUUUAUUUUCGAGUCUUUUGAAUUUAUAUCGUCUUAUGCAUAAGACAACAAGUUUAAAUAUUUAACGACUGGCAAGCAGAGAAAUUGACCAGAUGCCAUGGACAUAGAAUGGAAUAGAACAUAGACAUUUCUUUUAUUUCGAAAAAAACGUUCACGAGUAUCGAUAGAAAUUUCAUUUUGGAAGGAAAAGAGGACGAGAGAAUAUGAAGCAGGCUUCGUAUAAAGGAUUUCUUGCUGGCCGCAGACGUGAACGAGCAACCCGCAAACCAGCACAUCACAGGCCACGUUUAGAAGCGCCGUGCCAAUCAGUGCGAUGAUCUGAUGAGCGUACGCGAUGUAAUAGCAAUUGGACACAGAAUAGUUGAAAGGCAG
Molecule: long non-coding RNA, 562 nt
Organism: Bombus huntii
Lineage: Eukaryota; Metazoa; Arthropoda; Insecta; Hymenoptera; Apidae
Exons: 3
Source: RefSeq, a predicted model, not a curated record